GACGAACGCUGGCGGCGUGCUUAACACAUGCAAGUCGAACGGAAAGGCCCUGCUUGCCGGGUGCUCGAGUGGCGAACGGGUGAGUAACACGUGGGUGAUCUGCCCCUUACUUUGGGAUAAGCCUGGGAAACUGGGUCUAAUACUGGAUAGGACCAUGCUGUAGGUGGUGUGGUGGAAAGAUUAGUUUCGGUAAGGGAUGAGCUCGCGGCCUAUCAGCUUGUUGGUGGGGUAAUGGCCUACCAAGGCGUCGACGGGUAGCCGGCCUGAGAGGGUGGACGGCCACAUUGGGACUGAGAUACGGCCCAGACUCCUACGGGAGGCAGCAGUGGGGAAUAUUGCACAAUGGGCGCAAGCCUGAUGCAGCGACGCCGCGUGGGGGAUGACGGCCUUCUGGUUGUAAACUCCUUUCAGCCAUGACGAAGCCCUUGUGGUGACGGUAGUGGUAGAAGCACCGGCUAACUACGUG
RNAcentral lists this ribosomal RNA (466 nucleotides) under uncultured bacterium. RNAcentral describes it as "partial 16S ribosomal RNA". It matches the Rfam family "Bacterial small subunit ribosomal RNA", at positions 28 to 507 of the family's 1533-position model. The record is from RNAcentral.